This 244-nucleotide long non-coding RNA is filed under the name Phoenix dactylifera (date palm). RNAcentral describes it as "long non-coding RNA (PDAC_LNC008661)". Lineage: Eukaryota; Viridiplantae; Streptophyta; Magnoliopsida; Arecales; Arecaceae. The record is from RNAcentral.
CUUUUCUCUCCCGACUCCCCCUCUUCUCCUUCGGUGAAACAGGGGGUCCCGUGACCCCCCCUUCUUCUUCUUCUUCCCUCUCGGUCGGACUCCGGGGCGGCCAUGGUGGCCGGCCCCGACGGCGGCAGGAGGCGGCGGAGCAAGCCCGACCACCCCCUGCGGCUGGCGGCGGCGAGCACGCCGGCGCUAACGCCUCUAGCCGAAGCGAAGCAUCCCUUUUUGGGCCAAAAUCCGGCGAUCGGCC